GACGAACGCUGGCGGCGUGCUUAACACAUGCAAGUCGAACGGAAAGGCCCUGCUUUUGUGGGGUGCUCGCGUGGCGAACGGGUGAGUAACACGUGAGUAACCUGCCCUUGACUUUGGGAUAACUUCAGGAAACUGGGGCUAAUACCGGAUAGGAGCUCCUGCUGCAUGGUGGGGGUUGGACAGUUUCGGCGGUUGGGGAUGGACUCGCGGCUUAUCAGCUUGUUGGUGGGGUAGUGGCUUACCAAGGCUUUGGCGGGUAGCCGGCCUGAGAGGGUGACCGGCCACAUUGGGACUGAGAUACGGCGCAGACUCCUACGGGAGGCAGCAGUGGGGAAUAUUGCACAAUGGGCGGAAGCCUGAUGCAGCAACGCCGCGUGCGGGAUGACGGCCUUCGGGUUGUAAACCGCUUUCGCCUGUGACGAAGCGUGAGUGACGGUAAUGGGUAAAGAAGCACCGGCUAACUACGUG
Molecule: ribosomal RNA, 468 nt
Filed under: uncultured bacterium
Lineage: Bacteria
Description: partial 16S ribosomal RNA
Rfam family: Bacterial small subunit ribosomal RNA
Source: RNAcentral